GUGAGUCAUCGAAUCUUUGAACGCACCUUGCGCCCUUUGGUAAUCCGAGGGGCAUGCCUGUUUGAGUGUCUUGAAGCUCUCAAACUUUUGCUUGAUUGUAAAAGUUUGGAUUUGGGUGUCUUCUGCCGGUCGCAAGAUCGGCUCGCCCUAAAUGCAUUAGCUGGCUUUUGGGUCCGCGACUCGGUGUGAUAAUUGUCACUCGCUGGGUUCGUAGACUUGCUAAGGAAGCUGCUUACAGUCGUCCCUCUACGGGACAACUCAUCUAAGUGUUUGACCUCAAAUCAGGUAGGACUACCCGCU
RNAcentral lists this unclassified non-coding RNA (300 nucleotides) under uncultured Agaricomycetes. Its description in RNAcentral is "sequence contains 5.8S rRNA gene, ITS2". The stretch from base 1 to 71 matches the Rfam family "5.8S ribosomal RNA", at positions 84 to 154 of the family's 154-position model. Lineage: Eukaryota; Fungi; Basidiomycota; Agaricomycetes. The record is from RNAcentral.